GAAUAUUGGACAAUGGGGGGAACCCUGAUCCAGCCAUGCCGCGUGUGUGAAGAAGGCCUUUUGGUUGUAAAGCACUUUAAGCGAGGAGGAGGCUACUCUAGUUAAUACCUAGAGAUAGUGGACGUUACUCGAGGGAUAGGCACCGGCUAAGUCUGUGCGAGCAGCCGCGGUAGUACAGAGGGUGCAAGCGUUAAUCGGAUUUACUGGGCGUAAAGCGCGCGUAGGUGGCCAAUUAAGUCAAAUGUGAAAUCCCCGAGCUUAACUUGGGAAUUGCAUUCGAUACUGGUUGGCUAGAGUAUGGGAGAGGAUGGUAGAAUUCCAGGUGUAGCGGUGAAAUGCGUAGAGAUCUGGAGGAAUACCGAUGGCGAAGGCAGCCAUCUGGCCUAAUACUGACACUGAGGUGCGAAGGCAUGGGGAGCAAACA
This 424-nucleotide ribosomal RNA is filed under the name uncultured bacterium. RNAcentral describes it as "bacterial SSU rRNA". It matches the Rfam family "Bacterial small subunit ribosomal RNA", at positions 359 to 774 of the family's 1533-position model. The record is from RNAcentral.